AUCUGGGCGGCGGAAUUCAGGAUGGUCGGGCGGGCCUCGCGCUCGUCGGGCCGUCUGAUAUUUCCGUCGCCGUGUCAGACGUCGCGACCUGUUGGUCGUCGGUCCUUGCUCGGAGGAAGCGCGGUCGAGUUCGUUGCGGGUGCGGCACGUUUCGGCGCGUCGUGUCCGCGGCGAAGUCGCGUCUCUCUGGCCGACGACGGACAGUAGGCAACGGUGGCCGGCGUCGUGUCUCGCACUCGACGUCGGUGCCGGUCGGCGACGAUUUCUUCGGGCCUCUUUCCGACCCGUCUUGAAACACGGACCAAGGAGUCUAACAUGCGCGCGAGUCGCGGGGUUUCGAGCGUGCCACCGGUGCGCUCGUCAUCUCCGAAACCCGUACUGUUGAAGGCGUAAUGAAAGUGAACAGGGAAGAUGGCGUUCCGAGUCGACGUACCGUGAUCGAGUAUCGCGGCCGGACGUCCGCACUCCCGGGGCGUCUCAAUGGCUCGGCGUGGACGUCGGAUCGUGGUCUCUUCGGGGACGGCGGUCGAUCCGCGUCGGUCCGA
This 545-nucleotide ribosomal RNA is filed under the name Chionaspis etrusca. Its description in RNAcentral is "eukaryotic LSU rRNA". Lineage: Eukaryota; Metazoa; Arthropoda; Insecta; Hemiptera; Diaspididae. The record is from RNAcentral.